CGCGUAGGCGGCUCUGUAAGUCGAAUGUGAAAGCCCCGGGCUUAACCUGGGAAUUGCGUUCGAUACUGCGGAACUAGAGUAUGGUAGAGGGAAGUGGAAUUUCCGGUGUAGCGGUGAAAUGCGUAGAUAUCGGAAGGAACACCAGUGGCGAAGGCGACUUCCUGGGCCAAUACUGACGCUGAGGUGCGAAAGCGUGGGGAGCAAACA
RNAcentral lists this ribosomal RNA (207 nucleotides) under uncultured bacterium. Its description in RNAcentral is "partial 16S ribosomal RNA". It matches the Rfam family "Bacterial small subunit ribosomal RNA", at positions 568 to 774 of the family's 1533-position model. The record is from RNAcentral.